AUAGCGUAUAUUAAAGUUGUUGCAGUUAAAAAGCUCGUAGUUGAACUUCAGAUUUGGUCGGGUGGUCCGCUUAACGGCGUGUUACUGCUUGGCUGGGUCUUGUCUCUUGGUGAACCAUUGUGCCCUUUGUUGGUGUGCUUUGGGGAACCAGGACUUUUACCUUGAGAAAAUUAGAGUGUUCAAAGCAGGCCUAUGCCUGAAUACAUUAGCAUGGAAUAAUAGAAUAGGACGUGUGGUUCUAUUUUGUUGGUUUCUAGAAUCGCCGUAAUGAUUAAUAGGGAUAGUUGGGGGCAUUGGUAUUCAGUCGCUAGAGGUGAAAUUCUUGGAUUGACUGAAGACCAACUACUG
Molecule: ribosomal RNA, 348 nt
Filed under: Ramariopsis kunzei
Lineage: Eukaryota; Fungi; Basidiomycota; Agaricomycetes; Agaricales; Clavariaceae
Description: SSU rRNA
Rfam family: Eukaryotic small subunit ribosomal RNA
Source: RNAcentral